GUGCCAGCAGCCGCGGUAAUACGUAGGGGGCAAGCGUUGUCCGGAAUCACUGGGCGUAAAGCGUGCGUAGGCGGUCGCGUGUGUCUGGGGUGAAAGUCCAGGGCUCAACUCUGGGAUUGCCUUGGAAACUGCGUGACUUGAGUGCUGGAGAGGCAAGGGGAAUUCCGCGUGUAGCGGUGAAAUGCGUAGAUAUGCGGAGGAAUACCAGUGGCGAAGGCGCCUUGCUGGACAGUGACUGACGCUGAGGCACGAAAGCGUGGGGAGCAAACAGGAUUAGAUACCCUGGUAGUCCACGCCGUAAACGAUGAGUGCUAGGUGUUGGGGGGUACCACCCUCAGUGCCGAAGGAAACCCAAUAAGCACUCCGCCUGGGGAGUACGGUCGCAAGACUGAAACUCAAAGGAAUUGACGGGGGCCCGCACAAGCAGUGGAGCAUGUGGUUUAAUUCGAAGCAACGCGAAGAACCUUACCAGGGCUUGACAUCCCCCUGACCGCCACAGAGAUGUGGCUUCCCUUCGGGGCAGGGGAGACAGGUGGUGCAUGGUUGUCGUCAGCUCGUGUCGUGAGAUGUUGGGUUAAGUCCCGCAACGAGCGCAACCCUUGACCUGUGUUACCAGCGCGUGAUGGCGGGGACUCACAGGUGACUGCCGGCGUAAGUCGGAGGAAGGCGGGGAUGACGUCAAAUCAUCAUGCCCUUUAUGUCCUGGGCUACACACGUGCUACAAUGGGCGGAACAACGGGAAGCGAGACCGCGAGGUGGAGCGAAACCCUGAAAACCGUUCGUAGUUCGGAUUGCAGGCUGCAACCCGCCUGCAUGAAGCCGGAAUUGCUAGUAAUCGCGGAUCAGCAUGCCGCGGUGAAUCCGUUCCCGGGCCUUGUACACACCGCCCGUCACACCACGAGAGUCGGCAACACCCGAAGUCGGUGGGGUAACCCGUAAGGGGGCCAGCCGCCGAAGGUGGGGUUGAUAAGUGGGGUGAAGUCGUAACAAGGUAACC
RNAcentral lists this ribosomal RNA (997 nucleotides) under uncultured bacterium. RNAcentral's name for it is "bacterial SSU rRNA". It matches the Rfam family "Bacterial small subunit ribosomal RNA", at positions 505 to 1501 of the family's 1533-position model. The record is from RNAcentral.